AAGAGGGAACUCAAUUGCGUAAUUGCCCUCAGAAGAUUGGCCUCCGCUCAGACCUGUGGGGGCGUUUUCCUGAUUAAUGAUUGAUGUCAGAGGGUCCAGCCAACUAUGGGCAGUCCCACCCCUAGGUAGGUGACUUUGCAUUGUAUGAAAAAGCAAGCUGUGCAAGUCAUGGAAAGCUAGCCAGUAAGUAGCAUUCCUUGGUGUUUUCUGCUCCUGGUUCCUGCUUCCUUAACACUUUCCUGGCUUCUCUGCAUGAUGAACUGCCACUUGAGCGCGUUCUCUGCUCAGCCACUCUGCCAAUUCUGGCUGAGUAGGAGGCUGUUAAAUGGCAUAUGAGAGGCAGGAAAGAGGCAGCCGUCUUUCUACAUCCUGACAUUCAUGAAACAACUCCUUCACGAAGCAACUCUUAGUCACGAGUUUCUACUUUUGAGGUGGUGAAAGCUUCAGCUUAGCCAACUUUGUGAUCCUUCUACAUCCCUCCGAGUACACGUAAGUUUCAGCAACAUGUGUGCUGGGAUUCUGAGAGGAGACAUCUGGCUAUCAACUGUGGAUUGUAAAGUCCACAGGGACACCAGCAUAACCCCUGGACCUCAUCAGGAGUUCACAGGGAUGUCAGCAUCACUCCUGGACCUCAGCUGGAGUUCACAGGGAUACCCAGCAUCAUUCCUGGACCUCAGGGUCUGUUAGGUCCAAGAGCGCCCUCCAAAAUGACAGUGCCACUAAGAAUGCCCGAAAUGACAGUCUAGGCUCAGUUCAGCCUGAUCCUUCUGACCAGGUAAAUGGAAGGCUCGCUUGCAGAUAAAUAAAACCCUAAAAUUAGCAUUCUCCAAAAAUCUUGUGAAGCCAGUUAAUGUUUGUCAGGAAAAGUCAUUACUUCCCUUAUCUGUCCCUAUAGCUGCGGGGCAUCUGAGCGGCCACAGAUCAAAGUCCCCAUGCUAGCUCCCUGGCUGUUCUGGCCUGUGGCCUCCUCCCACCACUCGAGUUCCCAGGCUAUUCAGACUUCCACAUCUUCCUCCCCACAACAUACAUCCUUAAAACUGGCUAGCACCGCCCCUGCCCUUUUGAGUUCUCCAACUAACCUUUUUAUCUACCCAUGGAAAGAUCCAGUUCUGUUGCUUCACUGCAUGCCCCUCCCUACCCUUCCAUGCUUAUCACAUGUACCAUUGUUGAGUUCUUAUCUGACAAGACCCCACCAUGCUCCCUGAGGGUAAUAGCAAUAGUCUUCAUUGGUGCAGUGAUAAUAAGGAUGGUGGUGGUGAUGAUGAUUGUGUGUGUGUUUUGAACACAGAAAUAAAGAAGAAAAGCAAUGGCAAAAACAUACAUUUAUUAAAAGUUAAAGUGAAAGCAAAAUAGCCUGCCUCCCAGAGGGAUAGCAGAGAUCAAAAGCCCCCUCCCCCAUUUCCAGUCCGGAAGUAUUUAAUUACAAAAAGGAAGAGGGGAGUUGUUCCUUGAAGAGCUGGGCCUUCUCUCGGUGAACGGAUUACAGUGCAUUGUGUCUUCUGCGCAUGUGCUACACUUGCUCUUCUCUAGCAAUCCUAACCCUGAGAUGCCGUCUAUAUGCAUCAGCUCUGAAGUGUUGUGUGAUGUCCCCAGGUUCACUCUGGGGCAAAGAAAUCUCCUACUGAGUUUUGCUUCCUGAAUGUGGACGGAUUUUUCCUGUUUGUUUGGGGGAGUUUGUAAGAUCUGAAGGGUGUACGGGGGCAGUUGGAGGGGUGGACUUCGUCAGUUGCCAGCUCCUUCCUGUGACUCACAGCCAAGCUCAUCCGACCUUACCUACCUGCCUGUCAUGUCUCACAGCUCUGACCAUUACCACAGAACUCCUGUCAGGUACGAAAUAAAUACUACGUUUUCACCCUGCAGUGUGUGGAAAUCCUAGACGCUCUUGCAUGAGGUCCUGCGCCGGGAGAGAUGUCACUCAACUAGAGCUUUAGAGUUGGCUCGUGUUUCUUUAGUCUCCCCACCUGUCCCCAAUUCCUGUACCACCAAGGGCAUUGGGCUUGUGUUGGUUUGGUUUGUCUCUUUGGGGACCAAUCACUGAAAACCAAAGAAUGGCCUUUUUUUGCCUUGGGCCCAAUAUCUGUACUUAACGUUUUUCCUCUCCCCCAGAAGAUCUCUCCCCUGGGGUGUGUGGACAGAAGGGUUGCUCUUUCUUGUACUUUCUACAUGUUUUGUCAGUAUUAUGAACUACUUGUACUUUUCUAAGCAAAAUAGAUGUUUGAUUAGGUUGGAAAGUACUAAAAUA
Molecule: non-coding RNA, 2242 nt
Organism: Peromyscus maniculatus bairdii (prairie deer mouse)
Lineage: Eukaryota; Metazoa; Chordata; Mammalia; Rodentia; Cricetidae
Source: RefSeq, a predicted model, not a curated record